AGAGUUUGAUCAUGGCUCAGGAUGAACGCUGGCGGUCUGCUUAACACAUGCAAGUCGAACGAACUCUUCGGAGUGAGUGGCGGACGGGUGAGUAACGCGUGAGAAUCUACCUGUGGGUCGGGGACAACCACUGGAAACGGUGGCUAAUACCGGAUGAGCCGAAAGGUAAAAGAUUUAUUGCCCACAGAUGAGCUCGCGUCUGAUUAGCUAGUUGGUAAGGUAAAAGCGUACCAAGGCGACGAUCAGUAGCUGGUCUGAGAGGAUGAGCAGCCACACUGGGACUGAGACACGGCCCAGACUCCUACGGGAGGCAGCAGUGGGGAAUUUUCCGCAAUGGGCGAAAGCCUGACGGAGCAAGACCGCGUGGGGGAGGAAGGUUUUUGGAUCGUAAACCCCUUUUGUCAAGGAAGAAGCUCUGACGGUACUUGACGAAUAAGCCUCGGCUAACUCCGUGCCAGCAGCCGCGGUAAUACGGAGGAGGCAAGCGUUAUCCGGAAUGAUUGGGCGUAAAGCGUCUGUAGGUGGCCAGCUAAGUCUGCUGUUNAAGAUCNCAGCUCAACUGUGGG
This 566-nucleotide ribosomal RNA is filed under the name uncultured cyanobacterium. RNAcentral's name for it is "bacterial SSU rRNA". It matches the Rfam family "Bacterial small subunit ribosomal RNA", at positions 8 to 619 of the family's 1533-position model. The record is from RNAcentral. Lineage: Bacteria; Bacillati; Cyanobacteriota.